UCGAACGGCAGCACAGGAGAGCUUGCUCUCUGGGUGGCGAGUGGCGGACGGGUGAGGAAUACAUCGGAAUCUACUUUUUCGUGGGGGAUAACGUAGGGAAACUUACGCUAAUACCGCAUACGACCUACGGGUGAAAGCAGGGGAUCUUCGGACCUUGCGCGAUUGAAUGAGCCGAUGUCGGAUUAGCUAGUUGGCGGGGUAAAGGCCCACCAAGGCGACGAUCCGUAGCUGGUCUGAGAGGAUGAUCAGCCACACUGGAACUGAGACACGGUCCAGACUCCUACGGGAGGCAGCAGUGGGGAAUAUUGGACAAUGGGCGCAAGCCUGAUCCAGCCAUACCGCGUGGGUGAAGAAGGCCUUCGGGUUGUAAAGCCCUUUUGUUGGGAAAGAAAUCCAGCUGGCUAAUACCCGGUUGGGAUGACGGUACCCAAAGAAU
This 436-nucleotide ribosomal RNA is filed under the name Stenotrophomonas sp. 227(2010). Its description in RNAcentral is "bacterial SSU rRNA". It matches the Rfam family "Bacterial small subunit ribosomal RNA", at positions 62 to 487 of the family's 1533-position model. Lineage: Bacteria; Pseudomonadati; Pseudomonadota; Gammaproteobacteria; Lysobacterales; Lysobacteraceae. The record is from RNAcentral.